AUUGAACGCUGGCGGCAGGCCUAACACAUGCAAGUCGAACGAGUGGCGGACGGGUGAGUAAUGUCUGGGAAACUGCCUGAUGGGGGGGGAUAACUACUGGAAAGGGUGGCUAAUACCGCAUACCAUCGGAGUGGCCCAAAUGGGAUUAGCUAGUAGGUGGGGUAAAGGCUCACCUAGGCGACGAUCCCUAGCUGGUCUGAGAGGAUGACCAGCCACACUGGAACUGAGACACGGUCCAGACUCCUACGGGAGGCAGCAGUGGGGAAUAUUGCACAAUGGGCGCAAGCCUGAUGCAGCCAUGCCGCGUGUAUGAAGAAGGCCUUCGGGUUGUAAAGUACUUUCAGCGGGGAGGCGUUACCCGCAGAAGAAGCACCGGCUAACUCCGUGCCAGCAGCCGCGGUAAUUC
This 406-nucleotide ribosomal RNA is filed under the name uncultured bacterium. RNAcentral describes it as "partial 16S ribosomal RNA". It matches the Rfam family "Bacterial small subunit ribosomal RNA", at positions 30 to 526 of the family's 1533-position model. The record is from RNAcentral.